Molecule: long non-coding RNA, 364 nt
Organism: Pogoniulus pusillus (Red-fronted tinkerbird)
Lineage: Eukaryota; Metazoa; Chordata; Aves; Piciformes; Lybiidae
Exons: 3
Source: RefSeq, a predicted model, not a curated record
AAAUCACUGUUCCUGUGUCCUACUGCUCUUGGUCUUUACCAUGUGUUCAUCACCCACGAGAUGCCAAGACCCAUUGCCAUCAAAAUCUGGUUUAUUCUUGAAUUCAUGCAAGCUUGUAAUGACCCUAGACAGUGUUGCUGCUGCUGAGUUCCACAAUAUGGGAAGUAAAAAGUGCUGAUGGCCUGCACAUCCUGAUAUACAGCUUCAAAAGCCAAAAAGGCAUAAUGUAUAGCUGAAAUGCCUCACCAGUUCUGAAAGGCUCUGGAGAGCUGCAGCAGAGCAUAAAGAGCAGCCCACUGCUCUGUGCCAGCCACUACUUAGUUGGGAAACUAUGCAACGAUUAAACAAUGAAAUUAAACACAUA